RNAcentral lists this ribosomal RNA (384 nucleotides) under Triticum aestivum (bread wheat). RNAcentral's name for it is "partial small subunit ribosomal RNA". The record is from RNAcentral. Lineage: Eukaryota; Viridiplantae; Streptophyta; Magnoliopsida; Poales; Poaceae.
AUGGAAAUAUGCGGUGAUAAAGGGAUAUUUAUCUUUGCCAGAUUUGGUGGUGUCGGGAACGUGGGGCGCAGUGCGAGCCAUCGUCUCCUGCCCCCACAUGUAUGUGUACCGCUCCACCAUGUCGCUGUGAUUCAAGGCCGGCGCAAAGACAAUAUUAUCCCUCCGCAGCGCCGCCAUCUCCUUCUUCCUCGCUUCCGCUUCCGGGUUGACUACCUUCUCCAGCUUAUCUUGGCCCUUCUUGGGUGCCAUGAUUGCUUUGCGGAGGGCAGAUUUGCGAGCGAGCGAGGGCGUGACACGGCGGCAGAAGAACCUGCGCUCUGUUCUUGCGCAAGGUUGAAGACGAUUGGAGGCGAAUUACUAGAUUGGAACAGAAGGGGUAAAUGA